GACGGAGGGUGCAAGCGUUGUUCGGAGUUACUGGGCGUAAAGGGCGCGUAGGUGGUUGUGUAAGUGAGACGUGAAAGCCCCGGGCUUAACCUGGGAAUGUCGUCUUAAACUGCAUGACUGGAGUACUGUAGAGGGUAGUGGAAUUUCCGGUGUAGCGGUGAAAUGCGUAGAGAUCGGAAGGAACACCAGUGGCGAAGGCGGCUACCUGGACAGAUACUGACACUGAGACGCGAAAGCGUGGGGAGCAAACAGG
This 253-nucleotide ribosomal RNA is filed under the name uncultured bacterium. RNAcentral's name for it is "partial 16S ribosomal RNA". It matches the Rfam family "Bacterial small subunit ribosomal RNA", at positions 524 to 776 of the family's 1533-position model. The record is from RNAcentral.